RNAcentral lists this ribosomal RNA (466 nucleotides) under Vreelandella stevensii. RNAcentral's name for it is "partial 16S ribosomal RNA". It matches the Rfam family "Bacterial small subunit ribosomal RNA", at positions 337 to 795 of the family's 1533-position model. Lineage: Bacteria; Pseudomonadati; Pseudomonadota; Gammaproteobacteria; Oceanospirillales; Halomonadaceae. The record is from RNAcentral.
CCCUACGGGAGGCUGCAGUGGGGAAUAUUGGACAAUGGGGGGAACCCUGAUCCAGCCAUGCCGCGUGUGUGAAGAAGGCCCUCGGGUUGUAAAGCACUUUCAGUGAGGAAGAACGCCUGGUGGUUAAUACCCAUCAGGAAAGACAUCACUCACAGAAGAAGCACCGGCUAACUCCGUGCCAGCAGCCGCGGUAAUACGGAGGGUGCGAGCGUUAAUCGGAAUUACUGGGCGUAAAGCGCGCGUAGGUGGCUUGAUAAGCCGGUUGUGAAAGCCCCGGGCUCAACCUGGGAACGGCAUCCGGAACUGUCAAGCUAGAGUGCAGGAGAGGAAGGUAGAAUUCCCGGUGUAGCGGUGAAAUGCGUAGAGAUCGGGAGGAAUACCAGUGGCGAAGGCGGCCUUCUGGACUGACACUGACACUGAGGUGCGAAAGCGUGGGUAGCAAACAGGAUUAGAUACCCUUGUAGUC